Xiphophorus couchianus (Monterrey platyfish) is the source of this 931-nucleotide long non-coding RNA. RefSeq lists it as uncharacterized. The transcript has 2 exons. The record is from RefSeq and is a predicted model, not a curated record. NCBI's taxonomy places the organism in Eukaryota, Metazoa, Chordata, Actinopteri, Cyprinodontiformes, Poeciliidae.
ACAUACCUAAACCCUCAAUUUCACAACUAUUUGCUAUGUUAUACGUUAUAAACACAUUUCUGAACAAGAAUUAGUUCAAAAAGGAAAGGGGAAAAUUCCCAUCAGCUGGUUUUAUGAGGUCUUUGUUCUAACACCGGAAGUCCAGGCAGCGACAUUUUGAGGAGGGAUGAGGUGGGGGAUUCUCGAAGCUACACCAGAGCUAACGGCUAAAAGGCCAACAACCAUCCUCCGGUAUCAACUAUGUAUUUUACAUCAAACGAACAAGAUCUCGUUAUACGUGCUGUGAAGAACAUCCUACCAGUGUGCAGUGAAACCCUGAAGGACGAGAUGAAACUUGUUCCAGCUCUUUGAAACCCGCGCAGGAUGUUUUUUUUGUCUCAUUCUCACAAGUCUAGACUCAACAUUCCUUGCUCUUAGUUCACCACACAAGUAACAGAUUCUUUACAUCUUGAACUAUCAUUCAUAAGUAAUGUCGGAUAAAUGACAAAUUCACUUCCAGGAAAUGUUAAAUCUGUACCUCUAAGAAAUGUAUGUUUUCAUUUGAACAUAAUGUUUUGAUGUUUUGCUAAAUUAAACAUAAAAAAACAGGUGAUAUCUAUAAUACCAAUGCUAACUAAUGCUUUCUAUGUUACACAAUAGUUUUGAAAUUCUGACACCAAAUAAUUAGCUGUAAAAUACUGCAAAUGUACAGAGUUAGGUAAAACUACUGUACUAAAUUUUAAUAUCAUAUUGUGGACCACACUUUUUUUCUGAAAGAUCAGUGCAAGGUUAUUUAUCAUACCUUGCACUGGUACGAUAAAUUAUAUUAUAAUUUACUGUAAUGGAAAAAAAACCCUCCUCAAAUUGGUGAAAAUCACAAUUUCUAAAUGCAAUACGCCUCAUGCAACGUUUUUGUAUGUGCCAAUAUUUUACAGUAAAAGUCUUAUUUUUG